AUACGGAGGGUGCAAGCGUUAUUCGGAAUCACUGGGCGUAAAGGACGCGUAGGUGGGUUGGCAAGUCAGAUGUGAAAUCCUACAGCUUAACUGUAGAACUGCAUUUGAAACUGCUAACCUAGAGUAUGGGAGGGGGAGAUGGAAUUAGUGGUGUAGGGGUAAAAUCCGUAGAUAUCACUAGGAAUACCGAAAGCGAAGGCGAUCUCCUGGAACAUAACUGACGCUAAGGCGUGAAAGCGUGGGGAGCAAACAGGAUUAGAAACCCCUGUAGUCC
RNAcentral lists this ribosomal RNA (274 nucleotides) under uncultured bacterium. Its description in RNAcentral is "partial 16S ribosomal RNA". It matches the Rfam family "Bacterial small subunit ribosomal RNA", at positions 523 to 796 of the family's 1533-position model. The record is from RNAcentral.